CCCAACUUCGGUUAUAAGAUCCCUCAAAGAUGAUGAGGUUAAUAGGUUCGAGGUGGAAGCAUAGCGAUAUGUGGAGCUGACGAAUACUAAUCGAUCGAAGACUUAAUCAAAUU
Molecule: ribosomal RNA, 113 nt
Filed under: Staphylococcus saprophyticus
Lineage: Bacteria; Bacillati; Bacillota; Bacilli; Caryophanales; Staphylococcaceae
Description: partial 23S ribosomal RNA
Rfam family: Bacterial large subunit ribosomal RNA
Source: RNAcentral